Molecule: unclassified non-coding RNA, 1120 nt
Filed under: Hevea brasiliensis (rubber tree)
Lineage: Eukaryota; Viridiplantae; Streptophyta; Magnoliopsida; Malpighiales; Euphorbiaceae
Source: RNAcentral
AAAAUAUUUUGUUAUUAAUGAACAGGACAUUAGGAAAUUGUCCGUACAUAAAUUAGUCCCACAUUGUAGGAGUUUUUAAUACACACACACACACACACACACACACACACACACACACACACACACACAAAUGCAAUAAUUUGCUGCUGAAACCAACAGUUCUUUAGGCUGUAAUCUUCGUUGAGGGAUCUGAUUGAUCUUGUUAUAAUCAUCCUUUGACAGUGCCCAGUCAAAUAUCUCCAAAUUUUCCUUCAGUCUCUCCUUUUUAUGGCUCUUAACUACAAGAGUAACUCCCUGUUCAUACACCCAUCUCAGACAAACCUGAGCAACAGUCUUUCCAUGAGCCUUUGCAAUCUCAUUUAGCACUUCAUUGUCCAUUACAGCAUUAGUGCCCCAGCGUGUCCCUUUUGCUCCCAGGGGAGAAUAAGCUGUCAAAACUAUACCUUUGGCCUUGCAGAGCUCUCUGAGCUUCUUUUGUUGCCAGACAGGACUCAUCUCCACUUGAUUUACUGAAGGAGGGAUUUUAGCCAAGGCAAGUAAGUCAUUGAGCUUCUUGCAAGAGAAGUUGCAGACUCCAAUGGUCUUUGUAAGGCCAAGCCGUUGGCACUCUUCCAUUGCUGCCCAUACAGACUUGAAGUCCAUUGGCAGAAGAGCUCAUCCUUAGGAAUUGGGAAUGAAGACCUUCCAGGCUUACAACUGAUAGGCCAGUGAAUGAGAUACAGGUCAAGGUACUCGAGUUGAAGAAUUCUGAGGGAAUUCUUGAGAGCAGUAAUUACAAGAUUUCCAUGAUUAUCGGCGAUCCACAACUUCGAAGUGAUAAACAGCUCCUCUCGAGAACCGAUGAGACCGCGUGCAAGCGCUUCAGAUAUGGCUUCUCCUAGUGGUUUCUCUGACCUGUAUGGUAGAGCAGUGUCGAAGUGCCUGUAACCCAGGUUGAUCGCCCCCAGGAUCGCCGUUUUCGUUGCGGCUUCAUCGAAGGGAUCGGCGGCUGUGCCCAUGCCUAAUACUGGCAUUUCCCGUUGGCCGGAAGAGUAAGUUAAAGAUACCUUCGGCAUUUCCAGUGCUUGGGCCAUUGCUUGGAACUUGGAGGUGGCCCUGUUUUUUAUUCCUCUUGUUUUUG